This 161-nucleotide ribosomal RNA is filed under the name uncultured bacterium. RNAcentral's name for it is "partial 16S rRNA". It matches the Rfam family "Bacterial small subunit ribosomal RNA", at positions 355 to 507 of the family's 1533-position model. The record is from RNAcentral.
UAGGGAAUCUUCCGCAAUGGACGAAAGUCUGANGGAGCGACGCCGCGUGAGUGAUGAAGGUCUUCGGAUCGUAAAACUCUGUUGUUAGGGAAGAAUAAGUAUCGGAGUAAUAUGCCGGUACCUUGACGGUACCUAACCAGAAAGCCCCGGCUAACUACGUG